AAAGUUGGGCAACGUUACAGAAGUUAGUAGUAUCAUUUCCGAGGAGAAAGAAAUACUUCGUAAGCGGAAUAAGAUCCUUAAGAUAGCUGAUAAACACGGUUGGGACACAGUAAAGGAAUAUUUGGAUAGUCCGUUGGCAGAAAAUAAAGAAGAUGCUAGUGAUUUACGCGCUGCUAUUUCUAGGGCUGCUAGAAAAAGAAACUAUAAGCCGUACAAUAAACCCGAUGCUGCAAACAGUGGUUCCAGUCGAGGAAAAUUUAAUUCCAGAAGCUUUUUUCGUGGCCUUAGCCAAGUCGGUGGUACAGACGGAGUCAAAGAAACAUACAAGUGCUUCUACUGCAAUCAACCCGGGCAUUUCGCACGGAACUGUCCCCAAAGAAGUACCCCUACAGCCACUUUUAGUGCACCAAAGUUCCAGCAGGAUCAACACACAGGAAAGACACAGUAACAGCACAGAAACUGACGAAG
This 468-nucleotide long non-coding RNA is filed under the name Mytilus galloprovincialis (Mediterranean mussel). Lineage: Eukaryota; Metazoa; Mollusca; Bivalvia; Mytilida; Mytilidae. The record is from RNAcentral.